This 433-nucleotide ribosomal RNA is filed under the name uncultured bacterium. RNAcentral describes it as "partial 16S ribosomal RNA". It matches the Rfam family "Bacterial small subunit ribosomal RNA", at positions 29 to 507 of the family's 1533-position model. The record is from RNAcentral.
AACGAACGCUGGCGGCAUGCCUAACACAUGCAAGUCGAACGAGACCUUCGGGUCUAGUGGCGCACGGGUGCGUAACGCGUGGGAACCUGCCCUUAGGUUCGGAAUAACUCCCCGAAAGGGGUGCUAAUACCGGAUAAUGUCUUCGGACCAAAGAUUUAUCGCCUUUGGAUGGGCCCGCGUUGGAUUAGCUAGUUGGUAGGGUAAAAGCCUACCAAGGCGACGAUCCAUAGCUGGUCUGAGAGGAUGAUCAGCCACACUGGGUCUGAGACACGGCCCAGACUCCUACGGGAGGCAGCAGUGGGGAAUAUUGGACAAUGGGCGAAAGCCUGAUCCAGCAAUGCCGCGUGAGUGAUGAUGGCCUUAGGGUUGUAAAGCUCUUUUACCCGGGAUGAUAAUGACAGUACCGGGAGAAUAAGCUCCGGCUAACUCCGUG